AAUCAACGCUGGCGGCGUGCCUAACACAUGCAAGUCGAACGGGAAAGUACUCUUCGGAGUGCGAGUAAAGUGGCGAACGGGUGAGUAACGCGUGGGUGAUCUGCCCUUGGGUGGGGGAUAACUUCGCGAAAGCGGAGCUAAUACCGCAUGAGCCUCAUUUUGUAAGCGAGAUGAGGGAAAGCCUUUGGGUGCCGAAGGAGGAGCCCGCGUCCGAUUAGCUAGUUGGUGAGGUAAGAGCUCACCAAGGCGACGAUUGGUAGCCGGUCUGAGAGGACGGACGGUCACACUGGGACUGAGACACGGCCCAGACUCCUACGGGAGGCAGCAGUGGGGAAUUUUGGGCAAUGGGCGCAAGCCUGACCCAGCAACGCCGCGUGGAGGAUGAAGGUUUUCGGAUCGUAAACUCCUGUCUAGAGGGACGAAGGAAGUGACGGUACCUCUGGAGGAAGCCCCGGCUAACUCCGUG
Molecule: ribosomal RNA, 466 nt
Filed under: uncultured bacterium
Lineage: Bacteria
Description: bacterial SSU rRNA
Rfam family: Bacterial small subunit ribosomal RNA
Source: RNAcentral